CCUACGGGUGGCAGCAGUGGGGAAUUUUGGACAAUGGGCGCAAGCCUGAUCUAGCUAUUCCGCGUGUGGGAAGACGGCCUUCGGGUUGUAAACCACUUUUGUAGAGAACGAAAAGUCUAUUGAUAAUACCGAUAGAUGAUGACGGUACUCUAAGAAUAAGCACCGGCUAACUACGUGCCAGCAGCCGCGGUAAUACGGAGGAUGCGAGCGUUAUCCGGAUUUAUGGGGUUUAAAGGGUGCGUAGGCGGGAUGCAAAGUCAGCGGUAAAAAUGCGGUGCUCAACGCCGUCGAGCCGUUGAAACUGGCGUUCUUGAGUGGGCGAGAAGUAUGCGGAAUGCGUGGUGUAGCGGUGAAAUGCAGAGAUAUCACGCAGAACUCCGAUUGCGAAGGCAGCAUACCGGCGCCCUACUGACGCUGAGGCACGAAAGCGUGGGUAUCGAACAGGAUUAGAUACCCUUGUAGUC
RNAcentral lists this ribosomal RNA (464 nucleotides) under uncultured bacterium. Its description in RNAcentral is "partial 16S ribosomal RNA". It matches the Rfam family "Bacterial small subunit ribosomal RNA", at positions 338 to 795 of the family's 1533-position model. The record is from RNAcentral.